RNAcentral lists this long non-coding RNA (324 nucleotides) under Brassica napus (rape). RNAcentral describes it as "long non-coding RNA (BNAP_LNC006657)". Lineage: Eukaryota; Viridiplantae; Streptophyta; Magnoliopsida; Brassicales; Brassicaceae. The record is from RNAcentral.
UAAAUAUAUAAUAUAGUUUACAUUUGAGUUUGAGUUUAGUGGUCCAUUUAUUUAGUAUUUAAAAGUUGGAGUUAAUGAAAUGUUUGUGGUGAUAUAAAGUAAAAUUAAUGAAAUAUUUGUGGGUAUGUGUAUGUGAUGUGGCUGUGUUAUCUUCAUUUUGUUGGUGACAGUUUGCAUUAAUUAUUGGCCACACUUGGAUUUUGUCAACGUCAUCUCCACAUCUUGAAGUCACCGGCAACUUGCAUGAAUCAAGGGUAAAACCGGUGGAAAUGAAGCACAAUUGAUAGAUACUAUAUUAUGUCAAAAUCAGUGCUCUGCACUUAG